AGCAGCCGCGGUAAUUCCAGCUCCAAUAGCGUAUAUUAAAGUUGUUGCAGUUAAAAAGCUCGUAGUUGAAUUUCGGGAUCAAUAUGUUGGUCGUGCCUUGGUACGUACUGGCAUUAUCGAUUCCUACCUUCUGAAGAACCUCGAUGUCAUUAAUUUGGUGUCUUGGGGAAUCAGGACUGUUACUUUGAAAAAUUAGAGUGUUUAAAGCAGGCUCGCGCUUGAAUACAUUAGCAUGGAAUAAUGAAAUAGGACGUUUGAUUCUAUUUUGUUGGUUUCUAGGAUCGACGUAAUGAUUAAUAGGGAUAGUUGGGGGCAUUAGUAUUCAAUUGUCAGAGGUGAAAUUCUUGGAUUUAUUGAAGACUAACUACUGCGAAAGCAUUUGCCAAGGAUGUUUUCAUUAAUCAAGAACGAAAGUUAGGGGAUCGAAGACGAUCAGAUACCGUCGUAGUCUUAACCAUAAACUAUGCCGACUAGGGAUCGGAUGAUGUUAAUUUUUAAUGUA
This 502-nucleotide unclassified non-coding RNA is filed under the name uncultured Glomus. Its description in RNAcentral is "SSU rRNA". It matches the Rfam family "Eukaryotic small subunit ribosomal RNA", at positions 569 to 1078 of the family's 1831-position model. Lineage: Eukaryota; Fungi; Glomeromycota; Glomeromycetes; Glomerales; Glomeraceae. The record is from RNAcentral.